GAUGAACGCUGGCGGCGUGCCUAAUACAUGCAAGUCGACCGAACAAACGAUGAGCUUGCUCCUUUUACUUUAGCGGCGGACGGGUGAGUAACACGUGAAUAACCUGCCUUUUUGUCUUGGAUAACUGCGGGAAACCGGGGCUAAUACGGGAUAAUCUGUUGAUCCUGAUUGUUCAAUAUUGAAAGACGGUUUUUUUGUUUCUUUUUGGUGUAUCCGCGUCGCAUUAGGUAGUUGGUAUGGUAACGGCUUACCAAGGCGACGAUGGGUAGCCGACCUGAGAGGAUGAUCGGCCACACUAGAACUGAGACACGGUCCAGACUCCUACGGGAGGCAGCAGUGGGGAAUCUUACGCAAUGGGCGAAAGACUGACGGAGCGACGCCGCGUGGGUGAUGAAGGUCUUCGGAUCGUAAAACGCUGUUAUUAGGGAAGAAAAGAAGUGUAAGUAACUAUGGAUGUCUUGACGGUACCUAGACAGAAAGCCACGGCUAACUACGUG
RNAcentral lists this ribosomal RNA (497 nucleotides) under uncultured bacterium. RNAcentral describes it as "partial 16S ribosomal RNA". It matches the Rfam family "Bacterial small subunit ribosomal RNA", at positions 28 to 507 of the family's 1533-position model. The record is from RNAcentral.